AACGAACGCUGGCGGCAGGCUUAACACAUGCAAGUCGAACGGGCGUAGCAAUACGUCAGUGGCAGACGGGUGAGUAACACGUGGGAACCUUCCUAGGGGUACGGAACAACUCAGGGAAACUUGAGCUAAUACCGUAUACGUCCGUGAGGAGAAAGAUUUAUCGCCCUUAGACGGGCCCGCGUCGGAUUAGCUAGUUGGUGGGUAACGGCCUACCAAAGGCGACGAUCCGUAGCUGAUCUGAGAGGAUGAUCAGCCACACUGGGACUGAGACACGGCCCAGACUCCUACGGGAGGCAGCAGUGGGGAAUCUUGGACAAUGGGCGCAAGCCUGAUCCAGCCAUGCCGCGUGAGUGAAGAAGG
This 360-nucleotide ribosomal RNA is filed under the name uncultured bacterium. RNAcentral describes it as "bacterial SSU rRNA". It matches the Rfam family "Bacterial small subunit ribosomal RNA", at positions 29 to 414 of the family's 1533-position model. The record is from RNAcentral.